GGAGGGGUAGCUCGGUGGGAGAGCACACGCUUGGCACGCGUGGGGUCCUGGGUUCAAGCCCCAGCACCUCCU
This 72-nucleotide transfer RNA is filed under the name Camelus bactrianus (Bactrian camel). It matches the Rfam family "tRNA". Rfam says of the family: Transfer RNA (tRNA) molecules are approximately 80 nucleotides in length. Their secondary structure includes four short double-helical elements and three loops (D, anti-codon, and T loops). Further hydrogen bonds mediate the characteristic L-shaped molecular structure. tRNAs have two regions of fundamental functional importance: the anti-codon, which is responsible for specific mRNA codon recognition, and the 3' end, to which the tRNAs corresponding amino acid is attached (by aminoacyl-tRNA synthetases). tRNAs cope with the degeneracy of the genetic code in two manners: having more than one tRNA (with a specific anti-codon) for a particular amino acid; and 'wobble' base-pairing, i.e. permitting non-standard base-pairing at the 3rd anti-codon position. The record is from Rfam by way of RNAcentral. Lineage: Eukaryota; Metazoa; Chordata; Mammalia; Artiodactyla; Camelidae. RNAcentral also lists the same sequence under 2 other names.